This 74-nucleotide transfer RNA is filed under the name Planctomycetia bacterium. RNAcentral's name for it is "tRNA-His". It matches the Rfam family "tRNA". From Rfam's summary of the family: Transfer RNA (tRNA) molecules are approximately 80 nucleotides in length. Lineage: Bacteria; Pseudomonadati; Planctomycetota; Planctomycetia. The record is from RNAcentral.
GUGGUCGUAGUUCAGUUGGCCAGAGCACUAGAUUGUGGUUCUAGUUGUCGUGGGUUCGAGUCCCACCGACCACA